GGGGUUGUCAGACCUGAUGAUUGAUUGCUUUGGAUGCUUUACAGUUUGGGGCUGAGACACAACAGAGCAAAGUGGCCCCCAGCAGUGCAGCCAGCCGCCCCGUCCUGUCCAGUCGCUCUGACCAGAGCCAAAAGAAUGAAGUUUUUUUGGAUGUGGUCGAGAGAUUGUCUGUACUGAUAGCAUCUAAUGGAUCCCUGCUGAAGGUGGAUGUGCAGGGAGAGAUUCGGCUCAAGAGCUUCCUUCCCAGCGGCUCUGAGAUGCGCAUUGGCUUGACAGAAGAGUUUUGUGUGGGGAAGUCAGAGCUGAGAGGUUAUGGGCCAGGAAUCCGGGUCGAUGAAGUCUCGUUUCACAGCUCCGUGAAUCUGGACGAGUUUGAGUCUCAUCGAAUCCUCCGCUUGCAACCACCUCAGGGCGAGCUGACUGUGAUGCGAUACCAACUCUCCGAUGACCUCCCCUCACCGCUCCCCUUCCGGCUCUUCCCCUCU
Molecule: small RNA, 485 nt
Filed under: Pongo abelii (Sumatran orangutan)
Lineage: Eukaryota; Metazoa; Chordata; Mammalia; Primates; Hominidae
Description: retained intron
Source: RNAcentral